AUGCCGCGUGUAUGAAGAAGGCCUUCGGGUUGUAAAGUACUUUCAGCAGUGAGGAAGGUGGUAGUGUUAAUAGCACUAUCAUUUGACGUUAGCUGCAGAAGAAGCACCGGCUAACUCCGUGCCARCAGCCGCGGUAGUACUGAGGGUGCGAGCGUUAAUCAGAAUUACUGGGCGUAAAGCGCAUGCGCGUGGUUUGUUAAGUCAGAUGUGAAAGCCCGGGGCUCAACCUCGGANAUUGCAUUUGAAACUGGCAGACUAGAGUACUGUAGAGGNGGGGUAGAAUUUCAGGUGUAGCNGGUGAAAYGCGUAGAGAUSUGAAGGAAUACCGGUGGCGAAGGCGGCCCCCUGNGACAGAUACUGACACUCAKAUGCGAAAGCGUGGGGAGCAAACAGGAUUAGAUACCCUSGUAGUCCACGCCGUAAACGAUGUCUACUUGGAGGUUGUGGCCYYGAGCCGUGGCUUUCGGAGCUAACGCGUUAAGUAGACCGCCUGGGGAGUACGGUCGCAAGAUUAAAACUCAAAUGAAUUGACGGGG
Molecule: ribosomal RNA, 536 nt
Filed under: Vibrio sp. LC106
Lineage: Bacteria; Pseudomonadati; Pseudomonadota; Gammaproteobacteria; Vibrionales; Vibrionaceae
Description: partial 16S ribosomal RNA
Rfam family: Bacterial small subunit ribosomal RNA
Source: RNAcentral